GGCUAGCCUCAUGGCAGUGGGUUAUCAGAAUUUAUUAACACUGGUGUCACUAAAGUUGGUAUAUAAUCCCCCCACUGCUAAAUUGGACUGGAUUUUA
This is an unclassified non-coding RNA of Cebus imitator (Panamanian white-faced capuchin), 97 nucleotides long. It matches the Rfam family "Y RNA". Rfam says of the family: Y RNAs are components of the Ro ribonucleoprotein particle (Ro RNP), in association with Ro60 and La proteins. Lineage: Eukaryota; Metazoa; Chordata; Mammalia; Primates; Cebidae. The record is from Ensembl.